UGCAUCGGCCGGGAAUCGAACCCGGGCCGCCCGCGUGGGAGGCGAGCAUUCUACCACUAAGCCACCGAUGC
RNAcentral lists this transfer RNA (71 nucleotides) under Cordylochernes scorpioides. RNAcentral's name for it is "tRNA-Gly". The record is from RNAcentral. Lineage: Eukaryota; Metazoa; Arthropoda; Arachnida; Pseudoscorpiones; Chernetidae.